This 460-nucleotide ribosomal RNA is filed under the name uncultured bacterium. RNAcentral's name for it is "partial 16S ribosomal RNA". It matches the Rfam family "Bacterial small subunit ribosomal RNA", at positions 338 to 795 of the family's 1533-position model. The record is from RNAcentral.
CCUACGGGUGGCAGCAGUGAGGAAUAUUGGUCAAUGGGCGCGAGCCUGAACCAGCCAAGUAGCGUGAAGGAUGACUGCCCUACGGGUUGUAAACUUCUUUUAUAAAGGAAUAAAGUGAGGCACGUGUGCCUUUUUGUAUGUACUUUAUGAAUAAGGAUCGGCUAACCCCGUGCCAGCAGCCGCGGUAAUAUGGAGGAUCCGAGCGUUAUCCGGAUUUAUUGGGUUUAAAGGGAGCGUAGAUGGGUUGUUAAGUUGUUUGUGAAAGUUUGCGGCUCAACCGUAAAAUUGCAAUUGAUACUGGCAGCCUUGAGUGCAGUAGAGGUGGGCGGAAUUCGAGGUGUAGCGGUGAAAUGCGUAGAUAUAACGAAGAACUCCGAUUGCGAAGGCAGCUGACUAGACUGCAACUGACGUUGAUGCUCGAAAGUGUGGGUAGCAAACAGGAUUAGAUACCCGUGUAGUC